AUUCCUACGGGAGGCAGCAGCCGCGGUAAUAUUGGACAAUGGGCGAAACCCUGAUCCAGCGAUGCCGCGUGGGUGAAGAAGGCCUUCGGGUUGUAAAGCCCUUUAGGUUGGGAAGAAGCUUGGUGUGUGAAUAGCAUGUCAAGUUGACGGUACCGACAGAAUAAGCGCCGGCAAACUCUGUGCCAGCAGCCGCGGUAAUAAU
RNAcentral lists this ribosomal RNA (202 nucleotides) under uncultured bacterium. Its description in RNAcentral is "partial 16S ribosomal RNA". It matches the Rfam family "Bacterial small subunit ribosomal RNA", at positions 335 to 527 of the family's 1533-position model. The record is from RNAcentral.